Lepisosteus oculatus (spotted gar) is the source of this 441-nucleotide non-coding RNA. The record is from the annotation of a RefSeq genome assembly. Lineage: Eukaryota; Metazoa; Chordata; Actinopteri; Semionotiformes; Lepisosteidae.
AUGGAUGGGAUGACGGACAGGGGGUCAGUGAAGACUGUGAUCCGGUGCAUAGGGGAAACGCAGACGAACGAGUCAGAAAGGAAGUCCAAUGGAGGAAUUCAGGGCGCAGUGCAAGGUCCAGAACCAACAGCAACAAUGACCUUCAUCACCAUCUUUAUCUGGACACUUCUCAUCUCUGCUCAAGAAUCCAGUGGACAGGUAACUGUGACUCAGACUCCAGCAGUGAAAUCUGUUCUCCCUGGACAGACAGUCACUGUGAACUGUAAGACCAGUGCAACUGGGAUCGAAGAGCAUUUCAGUGACAGUGGAUCUGGGACUGACUUCACUCUGACCAUAACAGGAGUCCAGGCUGAAGAUGCAACAGAUUUUUACUGUCAGAGUUUCCACUACCCCAGCACUAACCGUGUGUUCACAAAGUGUUACACACCCCACCUGCAAUAG